UUUACGAUAAACUUCACUCUUCCUUUGUCUAUUCAAUCUCAUGAAUAUCUUCUCAUCAAAAUCUUCUCCUAUACUUAUAAAUAAUUUUGAUUUCCAAUUCAACAAUCAUAGAAUCAGCCGACUUCUUCAUCAAUUUGGCUUCAAAUUCAAAAAUAUCUCAUGAUUUCUAUCUUUUUCCUAGGUAAGUAAUCAAUUGCUUCUGCUGUUGUUUUGGAUUUUGUUGGAAUUUAAACAUAAUUCCAGUGUAUAAAUACAUAACAAUGGUUUCAGGUUAGUCUCACUUUUGUCUCCACCAGAACUGUGUUUUUACGUUUUGUAUUUUUCUGAAGAUUUUGUUUCAAUUUGGGAAUUUAGGGUUUAUUCACUCUAACACCCAUCAAAUAAUUUAUAAUUAUGUUUAUUUUGAUUUUGAGAUUUAUGUUUUGUUCCUUUUAUUUCCAAACUAUUGAUUUCCCUUCAUCAAAUUUAUCCAUACCUUUGUAUGUUGAUUUUCCUUCAUAAUUUUUGAACUCAAUACCUAUCAAUCUUUCUUCAAGGUUUUUUUAUUGUUUUUUCAAUGUUUAAUGCAAUGACUUUAGAGAGUUUGACUGAUUUUUUUUGUGUUGUCCAUUCAAUAAUACAAAAGCUUAUGGGUUAUGACUAUCAAUAUCUAACUUAUGUCUGAUUUUCCAUGACCAAUGCAAUGUUCUUUGUUAAAAUAAAGUUUACUUCAAGUUUUAUGUCUCUGUUUCCAUGUUCAACACAGAGAUCUCAUUAGGAGCUAAUGGAUGUGCCUAUUUUACCUGGAACGUUGUGAUAAAUAUCUUGGGCUGUAAACUAUUUUGAUUUAUUCAGCAAGAAAUAUGUUUCAAUGAAUUCUAAUGCAAUUAUUUUCCAUUGCUCAUCACAUUAUUACGGUCUUUUUUUACAUUUGCAGUAGUGUCUUCUGCAUUGCUGCCUUUUUUUUUUGUUUCUGUUAUGACUUUUGAGUUUAUUUUUCUGUAUUGAUUGUAGACUGAGAUCUUGAAGCGAGAGGUUACCCCUGCAAUGAGAUUGCUCAAUGAUCUUUUGAUUAUGUAUGAUGGCUUUAAUUUUGGCAUAAUAUCCAUGAUCUUUUGAUUAUGUAUGAUGACUUUAAUGUCGGCAUAAUAUCUAUAUGGCUGAGUAUUUAAAUAACCAAUUGAUCAAUGGUUAACAAAAAAAUAUGUAGAUUGAUAAGUUAUAUCAAAAAUUCAUAUUUGUUUGUAAUUUCUAAUUUCAAGUUAUGUAUAUGUAUUUUUCUUGAUGAUUUAGUCAGGUAAUGAUUAAUUUUUUCA
Long non-coding RNA from Vicia villosa (hairy vetch), 1295 nucleotides. RefSeq lists it as uncharacterized. The record is from RefSeq and is a predicted model, not a curated record. The transcript has 2 exons. Lineage: Eukaryota; Viridiplantae; Streptophyta; Magnoliopsida; Fabales; Fabaceae.